Molecule: ribosomal RNA, 296 nt
Filed under: Chaetostoma thomsoni
Lineage: Eukaryota; Metazoa; Chordata; Actinopteri; Siluriformes; Loricariidae
Description: partial small subunit ribosomal RNA
Source: RNAcentral
GUCAGCUUACCCUAUGAGGGUUAAACAGUAAGCAAAAUGGGCCCAGCCCAAAACGUCAGGUCAAGGUGUAGCGCACGAGGUGGGAAGAAAUGGGCUACAUUUUCUACCACAGAAUAUCACGAAUGGUGCCCUGAAACAUGAAACCUGAAGGAGGAUUUAGUAGUAAAAAGCAAAUAGAGUGUCCUUUUGAACUAGGCUCUGAGGCGCGCACACACCGCCCGUCACUCUCCCCUUCCUAUUAUAAUCAAAACAUUCCUAAUCACACACACAAAAAUACGGGGAGGCAAGUCGUAACA